UGGCUCUCGCAUCGAUGAAGAACGCAGCGAAAUGCGAUAAGUAAUGUGAAUUGCAGAAUUCAGUGAAUCAUCGAAUCUUUGAACGCACCUUGCGCUCCUUGGUAUUCCUCGGAGCAUGCCUGUUUGAGUAUCAUGAAAUCCUCAAAAUGAAUCUUUUGUUAGUUCGAUUGAUUCUAUUUUGGACUUGGAGGUCUGCAGAUUCACGUCUGCUCCUCUUAAAUGUAUUAGCUGGAUCUCCGUGAGCUCGGUUCCACUCGGCGUGAUAAGUAUCGCUCGCCGAGGACACUCGUAAAAAAAGUGGCCGGGGUUGCAGAUGAACUGCUCCUAAUAGUCUAUUCACUUGGACAAUUUAUUUAUGAUCUGAUCUCAAAUCAGGUAGGACUACCCGCUGA
Molecule: unclassified non-coding RNA, 392 nt
Filed under: uncultured fungus
Lineage: Eukaryota; Fungi
Description: partial contains 5.8S ribosomal RNA and internal transcribed spacer 2
Rfam family: 5.8S ribosomal RNA (bases 1-133)
Source: RNAcentral